GUGCAGAUAACUUCAAAUUAGUCCAAGCUUCUUAGCCAAUGGCUUAGUCACAUCAUUGACCCAAAUGUUUUGAGAUCGCUGGAUGUAAAAGGGAUUGGAUGGAGAUAAAAGAGCUCUCCCUGGAAACUCUGUUUUGGAUGGUUUCUCGGAAACCUGUUGCAUCAGCUGUCGCUUGAAACCAAAUAACACGUUCACCUGGCAGGUAAGCAAGAAAAGUGACUUUGUCUCUAGCCUUUUGUACAGCUUAUAGCUAGGGGUGUGUGAAUAUGCCAAUUUUUGCCUGUCGAUUUCUCAUUUUCCGGCCUUAAAUUCGCAAAUGUCCUCAUAAAAAAAUCACCAGCAUUUUAGUGCUCAUUUCUCCUCGUAUAUGCAACUUAGUUUGCAAAUUUGCUCAGUGCACAUCUUUCUGCAUAGCUGAUUUCCCCAAUAUAAUGUAUUUUUUUUUUGGGGGGGUGUAUUUAUAUGGGCACUUUGUGCAUUUAUCUACACAUUGAUUCGCUGGAGAAUGGCAUUGCAAAAUUCAGAGAAGUGUGAACGUCGAAGGACAGCUUGUGUUUCUGAUCUCAUACCGUUUCAGAAAAGGUGGCUGCAGUAAAUUCAUUUUUAGAUGCAAACUGAAUCCCUAUUUAUAGCAGGGGUGGUGAGCCACAAGCUGUUACGGGACUGUGUGUGGUCCUUGGCCCAAUUUCACAUGGGUGAGGGAGCUCGGAGGAAGAGAAGUGGGGGAAUGCAAGGAUGGGAAGAAACCCAAAAUGGAUGGGGCAAAGGAGCAGGGAAGUUAUCUGCAAAUGCCCAGAUAAGACCUCUAAGAAGAGCAACGAGUCUGCAUCCCAGCUAGACAGGGAGAGAGAAAGAAUGAGAGAGGAGGAUGUCAAAAACAAAAACAAAAGGGACGGUCUGUUCUGGUCCACCUUUCCUCUUCUUGUCACCACUGGUAUGUACGGUAGCUUGCAACAGAUUAUCUCCCGAGGGAAUGUGGCCUCUUACUGCUGAUUUAUAGUUAAAGAUGCAACUUCAACGCAAGGUGGGGUAACCUCAGGUCUAGGGGCUGAAUGUGGCCCUCCAAACCUCUCUGUCAGGCCCUUGGAGCUUUCUCCAGGCCACACCCCCCCUGCUCCACACCCUCUUUGAGUGCUUUUGCCCAGUUGGAAAUGGUCCUCGAACUUCAGUAAUGACUCUUGCUUGCUGAAUGUUAGACAGAGAGGCGUGAGUGUGCCUAGAAACUAGCUCAUUAUACAAGACAAAAUUUGCAGUUGUUGCUCUGCCCACAUUUCCCUCUGGUCCUGCCCACCACUGAUAUGUGGCCCUCUGGAGGUUCCCCAGAAAGGAAUGCGGCCCCCUGGCUAGAAAAAGACACAUUCCCUAAUCGUGCUUUAGCGGGAGGCUGUUCCCGGAGGUGGUUUACCUAUCAAUCCUUCUUCACCGGCACCUCAGGGAAUUGCAGUUCUGGGAUGGGAAUAGGGGUCUCCUCAUAACUCUCUUAACAAACUGCAACUCCUAAGAUUCUUUGGGGGAAGAAGUGGCGCCGUAGUGCUUUAAGUGUAUACUGUGAAUUUGGCGUCCAUGAUAUGCUCCUUGCUGGAACGGCUCUGAGAACGUCUAGCCCAACUUGCCAGGAAAUUUGUAUAGAUGCUCCCCUUCCAAUGAGAGACUUUUUAAACGCCCCUCCCCCCGAGGGAACAGCAGCUGAUAUAACCUUUUCCCAGGCUUUCUAUUCUGGCAGAAGCAGGUACCUAGUAUGCCCCUGGGGGCUGAUACCAAUUGAGAGCCAGAUUUUUGUGCCAGUGUUGUGACUGUUUCUGCUACUAAUGUAGAACUCUUACUAUUAUAUAUAUGCAUUUAUGUAUGCCAUAGCUGCCAAGUUAUCCCUUUUUUAAAGGGAUUUUCCCUUAUGCUGAAUAGGCUUCCUCGCGAGAAAAGGGAAAACUUGGCAGCUAUGAUGUAUGCAGGUGCAGCUAUUAAAUCAUCCCGGAUGCUCAAUAAACAAGGCAGAUCUGGAUGAACUGAUGCUUGCCAUUGUUCAUGUUAUGUCAUAAUCCAGAUUUCUGUCAUGUCAGUUUCGGUGAAACUACACCUGGGUUUUGACGAUCCAUGAUCCCAGGGGCACCAUAGCUGCCAAGUUAUCCCUUUUUUAAAGGGAUUUUCCCUUAUGCUUAAUAGGCUUCCUCACGAGAAAAGGGAAAACUUGGCAGCUAUGAGGGGCAUACAUAAAUGCAGAAGAAGAUAAAAUCCAGGACACUCAAUGAAAAACACACACGAAAUACAAACAAGGACAUGUUUAAUGGAAUUGUGUUCCCCACAUCCCUUUGAUUGAACAAGAUAUCAGAGUUGGAACAAAAUUCUUAUUGUUUUGGAGCUGGGGGUGGGGUGGGGGUGGACACAGAGCCAAAGCUGUCAAGUUCUCCCUUUUUUAAAAGGGAAAUUCCAUUAUGCUGAAUAGGCUUCCUCGCGAGAAAAGGGAAAACUUGACAGCUAUGCACAGAGCUAUUGGAGAGAGAGUGUAAACAUAUUCUUAUAAGAGCAAUUUGCAUUAUAUAUAUAUAGCCCACUAAACAUAACAGGCUUCUAGAAGUGGGAAUACCUCAAGGAACCAUAAUGGGAAAAUACAUUCAUAUGUAUGCCAGUUCUUUGGGGUAUUCCCAGUUAUAAAUACUGUUAAAUUUAGUUGGAUUAUGAAGCAAGGUGCAAAUCCGACAUUUUACUAUUUAGCGUAAUAGUGUUACAUGCCACCCCAGUCUCUGAGUGGUGAGAGAAUCCAGGGGUUCAAGGCUCUUUUUCAGGGUUCAGUUUCCUUGGAAUGAAGGCCAUAGGAGACUGUGGUGCCUCUUGGAUAAAUCGUUUUAUUUACACAUAUAUACAACCUGAGCAUAAGAUGGAGGGGCUCGCAGCAUUAACACCCCGAACGAUCUUGCUUCUCUGUUAGUUACAGCUUUGGAUCCAGCAUAGAGCAAACAUGUCUAUGCGCCUACAGCUUCCAGCCUGCUUCUCCCUCUUUCAGACAUGCUACACCGGCUAUUAUUCUCCUUCCUAGCAGCUGGGGCCAGGGAGGACCACCCACCUGUCCUAUGGCACAGAGCAACUUCUUUGGUUAUGCUAAUUGUGGUGCUUAACUAGUCAACAAUCGUGGUGCUUUUCCUAGACAAAAGGACUGGUUUGGUAAGUUUGCUCUCC
Zootoca vivipara (common lizard) is the source of this 3171-nucleotide non-coding RNA. The record is from RefSeq and is a predicted model, not a curated record. Lineage: Eukaryota; Metazoa; Chordata; Lepidosauria; Squamata; Lacertidae.